Molecule: long non-coding RNA, 5358 nt
Organism: Thrips palmi
Lineage: Eukaryota; Metazoa; Arthropoda; Insecta; Thysanoptera; Thripidae
Exons: 6
Source: RefSeq, a predicted model, not a curated record
AAUUGUUUAAAAAAGAGGAAGAUGAAUUUCUUUUAAAAAAAGAGGAGGAUAAGAAAUUGUUUAAAAAAAUGUAAAGAGUCAAUUGUUUAAAAAAAUGUUAAAUAAAGAAUUGUUUCAAAAUAAAUGCAAAAGAUGAAAGAUUUUAUGGAUGCUAAGCAAGCAUUUGUGCACUUGUUAUGUUUGAGAGGGCAUGGAAGAAGGUGACAAGAGCUUGCCUAGACUUGCCUGCCAUAUGGAAGGAAUUAGGAAAGUCCAGAACAGUGUUAACGACGAAGGAGUGGGACUGUUAUAGGAUGGACAUGCUUUGAAAGUGAUUUGCCCUGACACUUCAGCGGCAACACUAAAUGCCUUCAUGGUUUUGUCACUGCAGUGAUGAAAAAGCAGCUCCCAAGCGAAGACCAAUCCUUUGUUUGUGCAUGGCAAAGUGGGAAGUGUCCAUUCCUGAAAUUCAGAACACCAUUGACAUUUGGACGUAAAUGGCCAAUCUCAUCGCAGACAGUCAGCUUUCCAAGUUUGAUUGAUGAUUGGUGUAUUGAGUGUUUGACAAUGGUGACUGGGCCAAGGAUGCCAGGCGUGUGCAUAAUGUUUUUCAACACAACUGCGGUAGCUGAGGCAUGAACCAGUCUGAACCACAAGUUUGAUUUGAUGUAUGCCAAGCUAGCAUUUGUGCGCUGGUACGUUGGAGGGAGAGGGGUGGCCUGUUAAGAGGUUGCUGUCCUGCCCUCUCCUGAUUAUUUUGUGGGCAGGCCAAGUGCAUGGAAGUGUUCAGAAGGCAUACCAUGAUGAGGUGUCUGUUGCGGAGAUGACACAUGGUUGCUGAAUGCCGUACUUGGUCUUGCAUGAGCUGUUACUCAAAUUAGCUUCAGGCGGCAAAGCCUGUCCAUUGUUCACCCAGACAUGGAUUCAAACACAAACUAGACCCCUGUAUCAAUUUGAAACUGACAACCUAAGCAGGGUUGGUCAAAGCUGUGACAGAGGAUCCAAUUCGGAUUUUAAUCUGGGAAGAAUUUUUUUGUUUUUGGAGAGAAGCUGUAAUUUUUUUUCUGGCUUCAAAUAAUUGACAAAGUUGCAGAGAGCAGGACGUGUUGGAGAGCCGAACUCACAAAUUUUUUAUCCUCAGACAGCAGCCCAGACAGCCUAAAUGUUCAUAGAAGUUCUGACAACUGAUUGAUUAGCACAGGAGGCUUCGUCAUUUCAACUCGGCAUACACAGAUUAUGAUGUGUAAAUAUGUUCGAGUAUUCACCAAGUUUCGAUGCUGGUCAAGAGAAAACAAACACUUCAGUGAAUGCUGUACUUCAGAGUCUGGUGUAGUGAAGUGAGAUAGUCAUCCAAGAGUUGAGUCCUGGCUGCUUCAAUCCAAUCUGAGAAGAGAGUGGUGCAUGCAUCAUGUUGACCAGCUUUAGGCCACAUGCUUGACCCGUAUUUGUUGCUCUAUUGUGAGUAAGAAUAUAUCCUCUGGGAGAGCGGCGGACAAGAGUUUAAAGUGUCCUUGCCAAAACUUCACUUUUGUGCACUGGAUGACCAAGUUCUAUGUUAUGUUGAUCUUCUGAACCAAUAGCAUGUGAGCUUGCGCUAAAAUGUGUUCGGCAAGAGUUGCCUUCAAUACUGGCUCUUGUUUAUGAUGAACUAUGGUUUAUUAACUAGGUUUCUAAUUCCUAGAGCAAUUGCUAACAAAUAGAUCUUCUAAUUCUCAAAGGUAACUUGCCCAGUAUUUCCUUUGGAUCAGUCUUUACUUGAAUACCAAGUCAGUUUUUGUUGUUUAGUCAUUGUGAGGCGGUAGGAGCAGAUUUGGUUGGGUGGGGGCAAAAUGAGCAGAAUUAGCAAGUGCAUCAUAUUCCAACAGAGUCUCAAAUUUAUAGUUUAUGUUGAGGGUUUGUCACAUUUUUUUUCUUGAUCUGCUGAUGUUGAGCAGAACGGCAGAUUCAUUUUGAGACACUUUUCCACUCAACCUGAGCAUUACAGAAUGCGAAGAAUUCACUCAGUCCAUUUUCCUUUCCCUCAUCCGAAACCCUCAGGAACAGACCAAUUACACAAAUUCUUGUUUCUUAGUGCCCAUUUCAACAGUGUUCAAGCCUUUUUUAAAUUUCUGUCAAAGAGAAAGCACCUUGUUGUAACAGUCUUUAAAUUUAACAAUACACAGAGUUUUGUUGACUUUGCUUUUCAUAAACUUAAUAAUAGUAUCCAUGUGAAAGGGCGCCAUUUCUCAUGGAUACUCUGUACAAUUUUUUUGGAAGAACAUUAAGCUGUGUUGGGGAUGAAAGAAUGUAUGUGCUAGUCUGGUUGCAUGUAUGUAUGAUAACAUGUUUAAGAGAGAUUGUGGUGGUGGUUGUCACACAGCUUGGGGCCCCCUGUGUUUGGUAGGUGGGAUUUAAGAGUAUUUUGUGUGCUUCAAUGUUCUUCCCAAAAUUUGUUUGUUAAUAGCGAGUCACAGUAGGAGUUAAGCAGGCGCGGAUUUGGGGGAGGGUUUAUAUGGGUAAUCACCCCUUGCUUAUGCUUCGGUACCAGAAAGGCCCGCAAUCGCCUGGAAGGCAGGCAACGGCCGCACCACUUUGCCCUUGUAAGCAGGCGACAAGUGCUGCUUCACCCCCUCCUAAGGAAAUCCUGGAUCCGCGCCUGGAGUUAGGCACAAUUGCCAAUUUGGGCCAUCCAUUUUGCAAUGAUGGUAUUUUCACUUUCAUUGGAAGUAAAAUUCAGGAGAGUAUUUGAGUGAAGGCACUGGUGACGAGUCAUAGAAUCUCUUAACAUGUGGCAAGUAAAUGUGCCAUACGCUCACUUUAUUUGUGCGUUAGAACCUGUGUUACUAAGAGUAAUAUUUUUAAGCUGAUGCUUUCUGAAGGCUCUUUUGUAUAGCAAAGCCAAUUAUCCACUUCAUAAUUCUACCGUCUCCGAUAUGCAUAUUGACAAAAUUGUUCAUGGGCUGAACACCACCUUGUCUUUCUAGCUCUGUUGAUCUCUUUCUACCAAUGUCACUCACUCUCAAGACGCUGAAAGUGACAGCAUCAUAGAACCUCAUGAUUCAUUCACAUUUGCCCCUUCUGCCUAUGUCUGGAUUCCUUUUGAUGAGGGAGAAUAAUUCAUAGUCAUUUUCUUACUUUUUGGCGCCAAUGGGACAGGAAAAAGCCUCUCCAUGAACAACGAAUUUAGACUCUGUUAAUGAUGUGUUCCUUUCUUUUUCCUUUUUCUGCACUUUGUUACAUCACGUGCUGAACAUGGCUGCAUCUCAGCAGGCCCAGAUGCACAGUUUCCUCGAACUUCAAUUUGUCUGAGAAUUUCAAGAGUAAAUUCUGAUCUGGGGGAUGUUGAUAGGCAAGCAUUCAGAACAAAGUAAUGUUUUAAAAGCUGAUUAGAUGAGCCUUUGUUGAAGCCUCUUGCAUUCACUUUGAUGGUAGUGGUGACUUCCCGUAGUUCUUCAAAGGAAGUUCCAUUUUAUUUUGAAAUGUUUUAUGCCGGAGUUGGACUUACAUUGAUUUAUUGGUGUAUGAUUAGCCUGCACUCUCACAAUGUUAGUUCUUUGCCAAUUGUGAUGAUGCUCUUUCAGUGAAAUUUUUCAACUCCAUUUUGUUAUUUUGUUGAUUGCGUUUAUAAAUGGCUAAGUUGAGGAGAAAUGGAAAUGUUAACUAUGAUAGUUUUUGAAAAUCAGCUUUUGGUUUGCCAUUUUUGAAUUUGUUUAAAAUGAAUUUAGAUGUAGAUGAAUUACAAGUUUUCCUUAUAUAUCAAAAGUUACUUGAUGAGGAGUUCUAUUCUAUGAGGAAAUAUGUUUAUGACAAAGGAGGGAGUAAAUUUUUAAAUGCUAAUUAGAUGAGCCUUUAUGCCUCUCUUCCAUUGACUUUGAUAGUUGUUUUUUCUUUUAACACCUUUGAAAGGUACUUUUUUUUUUAUUUUCAAAUGUUACGUGCGCAUAGCCAGAAAGGAAUGUUUUGGUGUAUGUUAAGCCUGUACUUUCAAUGUUAGUUCUUUGUUUCAUGAUGCUGUGUUUUAUUCGUGGUAUCUUUUAACUUUUUAUGUUACUUUGUCGAUUGUGUUCCAUAAUGGCUAAAUUAAGGAGAAAUGGAAAUGUUAUAUUGAAGAUGGGUUUUUGUUUGUUUUAUUUCAAAUUGCUAAUAAAAACAAAUUAAAUAAAAUUUGAGACAUAGACGACUCUAAAGUUUUCUGUAUCUCUAAAGUUACUUGUUGACGAGUAUUAUUGAAGUGAGGAAUAUGUUGGUCACAAAAAAGAAAGGUGAAUCUAAAUAUAUAUUUACUGUUGUUCUGUUCCCUUUAUUAUCUAUUUCCACCAUUUUCUUCCACUCUUUUCAAUUUGCAACUACUCCGUCAGUGACAAAGGAUUUAUCUGACGAGUCACUUUCUGCAAGGGCUCCGCCUGUUUGCCAUUUGUGACCGCACUUGUCUCAUGUCCAAUCCAGGGCUUAACCCACACGAAUGUUUUGUGAAUAAAAUAAAGUUGGAGACACUAAACCGAACCUUCGCAAUGGUCAACUGGGACACAUUAUUUAGUGUAAACGAAUUCUCAUAUGGAAGACAGUUCCAGAUUCUCUUCUAGUCCAAACAAGCUAAGUAACCGCAAAUUGAAACGAAGUUGACAUUAACAAAACUAUGCACGUAAUCAUGCUUCCCUGCUGCUGGCCUCGAAGGACUAGGGCCGUAUUAGGCGGGGACCAAUCACAGCGCGUCUUGGGAUUUCCCCGUUCCCGUCCGCCGGGAGGGUUGCGCGUGGCGUGGCCCAUCUAGAGAACCGAACGGAAACAGGCUGGCGACAGAUGAGGCUCUACUGACGAAAGUUUCUUCGGCUAAAGUUACUCAAAAAUCUAAGAUUAGAAUCUUCACAGAAGUAAUGUAGGUCUUUUGUCUUUCCCUGCAAGGAAAAGAGUAAUUACAGUGCCGUAGCAAAAAUAUAUCACUUCCAUUGCAAAGUCGAAGUGAAAUCCAGGUCCUCACUCGAGGCGGCCGUUGCCUCCGCGCCCUGAGCCACCGAGUGACAGUGAAGUCAUGUGCCCAUCUUUUGGCUGAUGGUACCGGAAUGUUCUGCUCUAGGCUUGGGAAGUUAACUGAGAUAACGUAAUUUCACUGGGGAGUCGCCAGGCCUCUUUACAGGCUCGAUCGUCCGACCGGUCUGCGACCGACCAACCCAUUGUGGGGUCACCUUUAGUUCCUCUCAUCGGACCAACUGCGACGAUAAUUCCAGGAUAUUUCAGAGACAUGCAUUUCUGAUGCAGUUGCCGGGUUUCAAGGUUUCACGCAUAGCUUCUCUCAUGUCAGCACAUUUUCUUGUCGCGUCGGAAAACGGGGAUUCGAACUGAGCGCCAGAAAAGGGAGUACAGCUCUCUGACCUUUCUUAAUUUAAGGCCGCCCCCGAACGU